Molecule: unclassified non-coding RNA, 254 nt
Filed under: Hevea brasiliensis (rubber tree)
Lineage: Eukaryota; Viridiplantae; Streptophyta; Magnoliopsida; Malpighiales; Euphorbiaceae
Source: RNAcentral
CUUAGUGCAGUACAUUCUUCAUUUUUUUUUUGGAAAUUGUGUACCAUAGUUAUUAAAGGCAUAGUUGUUUAGUGCCUAGGCGCAAGGCUUAGGUACAUGCCUAAAUGAGGUGAGGCUCAAAAAAAAAAAAAAAAANGAUAUUAUUUCAGGCUGAUUUCUUUGCUUGCACCUGAGGCAUGCCUUCAACAACUCUAGCUAUUACAAAUACAUUAUGGCCGUGACAGCCUCAUUACUGUUACAUGCAACUGUGACCG